Molecule: ribosomal RNA, 562 nt
Filed under: Cladosporium sp.
Lineage: Eukaryota; Fungi; Ascomycota; Dothideomycetes; Cladosporiales; Cladosporiaceae
Description: eukaryotic LSU rRNA
Rfam family: 5.8S ribosomal RNA (bases 206-359)
Source: RNAcentral
AAAAGGUCGUAACAAGGUCUCCGUAGGUGAACCUGCGGAGGGAUCAUUACAAGUGAUCCCGGUCUAACCACCGGGAUGUUCAUAACCCUUUGUUGUCCGACUCUGUUGCCUCCGGGGCGACCCUGCCUUCGGGCGGGGGCUCCGGGUGGACACUUCAAACUCUUGCGUAACUUUGCAGUCUGAGUAAACUUAAUUAAUAAAUUAAAACUUUUAACAACGGAUCUCUUGGUUCUGGCAUCGAUGAAGAACGCAGCGAAAUGCGAUAAGUAAUGUGAAUUGCAGAAUUCAGUGAAUCAUCGAAUCUUUGAACGCACAUUGCGCCCCCUGGUAUUCCGGGGGGCAUGCCUGUUCGAGCGUCAUUUCACCACUCAAGCCUCGCUUGGUAUUGGGCAACGCGGUCCGCCGCGUGCCUCAAAUCGACCGGCUGGGUCUUCUGUCCCCUAAGCGUUGUGGAAACUAUUCGCUAAAGGGUGUUCGGGAGGCUACGCCGUAAAACAACCCCAUUUCUAAGGUUGACCUCGGAUCAGGUAGGGAUACCCGCUGAACUUAAGCAUAUCAAUAA